RNAcentral lists this long non-coding RNA (9711 nucleotides) under Homo sapiens (human). RNAcentral's name for it is "HSALNT0149434". Lineage: Eukaryota; Metazoa; Chordata; Mammalia; Primates; Hominidae. The record is from RNAcentral.
ACACACCCAGAGCCGCCAGGGCUGCCCAGGGGCGAACAGCCGGCCCAGCCCCACAGGCCCUUUUUCUCACAAUGCUCACACCAUCGUCGCUUGUUCUGAGGAGGACCCGCCAUGGCCAAAGGGGCAAGAAGGCUCUGCUUUGCCCCGCCCUGGCACUAGAGCCCCGGCAGCCUCAUCCCGGGAAAGAGGGGCUGACGGACACCCAGACACACCCCACCACUACCACGAGCAAACCCACCCUGACACACCCACGGAUACACACGGGUGCAUGCGCGCAGACACACACACACACCACACCCGGGCACACACACACGGACACACAAAGACACAGACACAGAUAGCUCAAAGGGAGACCUCCCCUCAUAUUGUCUUAUGCCCAAUUUCUGCCUCCAAAGAAAGAAGAAGUAAAAUCUAAAAGGCAGAAAUGAAAUCCACAGGCAGACAGCCCCGCGCCACACCCUGGGCCUGGUAGUUAAAGAUCGAUCCCUGACCUACUCGGUUAUGUUAUCUAUAGAUUACAGACAUUGUAUAGAAAAGCACUGUGAAAAUCCCUGUCCUGUUUUGUUCUGAUCUAAUUACCUGUGCAUGCAGCCCCCAGUCACGUACCCUCUGCUUCCUCAAUCCAUCAAGACCCUCUCACGCGGACCCCCUUAGAGUUGUAAGCCCUUAAGAGGGACAGGAAUUGCUCACUCGGAGAGCUUGGUUUUUGGAGACGUGAGUCUGCGGAUGCUCCCAGCUGAAUAAAGCCCUUCCUUCUACAACUCGGUGUCUGAGGGGUUCUGUCUGCAGCUCCUCCUGCUGCAGAAGGAGAGCAAGGGAGAGAGGGAUGGAGAAAUAGAACCAGAGGGAGAGAGAGAGACAGCGAUAGAGAGAGAGAGAGAGAGACAGAAAAGGGGGGAGGAGAGAGAGAGGGGGGAAGAGAGAGCACCACAGUAGAGCGCGAGGUGGAGGGGGAAGUAGAGAAAGGGAGAGGGUGAGGGAGUUGUGGAGCGACAGCGACAGAGCCUUGGAGAGGGAGGCUCUGCUCAGGUAGACAGGGCACCUUUCAGCAGGCCGGGGUGUGGUGGAGGGUUCUUGGGCCGGGCUAGAACAGGGGGUCAGGGCCCCCCACCCAGGAAAACCAAUGGAGCCCUGAGACUUGUUUUUUUCCUUGGAUUGGUUGGUUGCUUUGGGGGUGCGUUUCAUAAGGUCCUUCCUUUGUUUGCUUCUUUCUGUCUCCUUGAUGCGGUGGGCCCCGAGAUUUGUAGAGUGUGCUCGUGUGUCUGGCAGGAGCCGUGGCGCCGAGCCUGUCCACGGGGCGAGGCCUGGGUCUCUCUCCUGUCCUCCGGACUGGAGUUUACACGAAGUCGGUGGCAUUGGGAAACAGGGUGCACAGGGACGGAUUUCCUCGUGGCUGGCGAAGAAAAUGUCCUUCCUCUGGGGAAAGCAGCCCUCGGGUUCUGGAGCGGAGGUCUUGGCUGGGGUCUGUGGCACCCGCUGCCCCUGCUCGCCCCUCCCACCGGCUUGGACGGUUGCAGUGACGCUGAAUGAAUGAAUACAAUUGCCUGGGAGUCCGGGGAGCGUGAAGAGACCCGGGACCUCAGGGAACCCGCGCCUGCACCCUCGGGGUCGGUCCCGUCCCGCCCGGGUUGGGUGGGGCUGCCGCGAGUCGGAAGAGGUGGGAUGCUGCUGCCUGGCGGUGCUGCAGUGGCGGAUCUUCAGGAGGAGGAUUUGUCCCCAGUGCCUUAUUUAGUUCACUUGGUGAGGUCAUGUUUUCCUGGAUGGUGUUGAUGCUAGUAGAUGUUCUUCAGUGUCUGGACAUUAAAAUCUUGGGCAUGCAGCACCAUAUGAGAAGUUUAAAAAAUAAAAUUUAAAGAGAGAAAAGGCUUUGGUAUCAGGAUGAUUCUGGCCUCAUAGAACAAGAUGGGGAAGAGUCCCUCCUCCUCUAUUUCUUGAAAUAGUUUCAGUAGGACUGGUACUGGCUCUUCUUUGUACAUCUGUUAAAAUUUGUUAAUCUAUCAGGUCCUGGGCUUUUUGGGGGUUGGUAGGCUAUUUAUUACGGAUUCAAUUUUUGGAGCUCAUAAUUGGUCUGCUCAGAGACUGAAUUUCUUCCUGGUUCAGUCUUGAGAGAGUAUAUGUGUCCAGGAAUUUAUUAAUCUCUUCUAGGGUUUCUAGUUUGUGUGUAUAGAGGUGCUCGUAGUAGUUACUGGUUGUUAUUUUUUUUUCUCUGGGGUCAGUGGUAACAUUCCCUUCAUCAUUUCUAAUUUUCUUUAUUUGAAUCUUCUCUCAUCUUCUUUAUUAAUCUAGCUAGUGCCCUAUCUUAGUAAUUUUUUCAAAAAACCUUGAUUAAGUGAUCUUUUGAACAGUUUUUCAUGUCUCAAUUUCUUUCAAUUCAGCUCUGAUUUUAGUUAUUUCUUGUCUUCUAUAAGCUUUGUGGUUGAGUUCUCCUUGCUUCUCUAAUUCUUUCAGUUGUGAUGUUAGGUUGUUAAUUUGAGAUAUUUCUAAUUUUUUGAUAUGGGCAUUACUUCUUAUGCCCUACUCUAAAUUUUGUUCUUCUAGAAAACUCAGAACUAUGCUUUCUAAACCAAUUCAAACUUUCUCAGUGAAUCAACCUGGACUCCCUGAGGCCAAGUUAGCAAUUUUCCAUUACACUUGGUUCUCUUUCUCUGUAAGAAUAUCUAAUGCAACAAUUCAAGUGUUUCUUUCCCUCCUGGUAAUGCGGGGAACUCCUUUUGGCUGAGACCAAGACUUAAAACCUUGUUCUUUCAACAUUAAUGAAGAUCUAUUUAGAAAGCCUCCAUUUUUGCAGAAAAGAUAUAUAAACACCAAUGAAAAUCAAUAUGAAAUUAUAUGACAUACAAUUAUAUUGUGGAAAGACUGAAUAAAUAAGUGAACUAAGCUCUAAGAAAAAAAGAUGAUGAUAUAAAAUGAUAUAGAAGUAAAAACCUGGGCUGGUAUAGCAUAAUUAAUGUAUCAGUAAAGUAUGUACAUUGUAGAAGUGGCAGGAAGACAGCAUAGAGAGUGAGACCUGACCAAAAGCUUUAAGGAAAGUUCUAUACCCUUAAACGAGAUUAAAGUGGACUCAGGAAAACAUGGGCCACAUGAGGGGAAGGACACAUGUUCCAGAUGAGCCAAAGCUCAGAGCAUCUCUACCUUCUCCAGGAGGAAAGGGGAGGCAAAGCAGCAGGCAGAAGACAGCACGGCCAGGUCAGCACAGGGCACCCAGGCCAAGCCAGGUGGGCUCCAUCAUACAGGUAGUGAGGAGUCACUGCCAGGUGGGCUUUAUUCAUUAGUUUGUUUUGUUUCUUUUAGUAACGAAGACACAUGAUCAAAGUUGACCUUUGUAAGUGUUGCUGCAGCUGAACAAAAAGAUGGAUAAGACCAGUGUUUUAAAAAUUAUGUUGUAUAGAGCACUAGCCUCAGUGAGAUAUUAGUAGAACACACAGGCACACACACACACACACACACUCACACUAAGCCCAGAUUAUUCUGGCAAAUGCUGGGUUAAGCAAACUAAAAGAAACAUCUUUAGUGCUGGACUUCUCAGAACCUGGAAUGUCGCUAUAUGACUCAUAAAACAGCAAGGUUAAGACAGAACAUGUCAUUUUUUCCCAGAAAUGCUGAAACACUUUCCUUCCCUUGGCUUCAGUGUCACCUUCUUUCUCCUGGUUCUCCAUCAACCUCUUUGGCUGAUCCUUCUUGAUUUCCUUCUUGACAAUCUGCUGCUGCUCAGCCAUUCUCUUUUCAUUCCCCAUGGAUUUCUCAAGUGCGUUUCUAUUCCUGCAUUUUAAACUUUCCUUGUUUUUCCUGACACCUCUCCUUGUCUGACUCACCCCUGUUCUAAGGCAGGUGUUCCAUCUGUGUGCGCUUUUGGCACCCUGGGAUGCUCCCAGCAUGUUCCCUGCCACACUCCAUCAGGUUUUCUCCGCAGACUCUGUGAGGGCAGCAGCCUUGUCUCCACCAUUCCUUCAAUGCUCAGCACAUAACACAGAAGCUGACUCCAUAACAUUUAGUUGGCCAACUGAGACUAAAUAUAUGUUCCUCUAGAUCUUAAAAAGUUACAGAAACAUAGCACAAUAGACAAAAUAUUCUCUUUAGUCAGGAGUUCUCUAUAUAUGUACAACAGUUUGAAGUCAUUAUUAAAGCAAAGUGAAAGAGAAACUGUCACAGAAUUCCCCAAGAUAAAUUAUUUUGCUUUAGUCUUCAUCAUGUGAGAUAAUCAAGACCAUGUGUUAUUGUAAAUAUUUCUAGCUUACAACACAACGACCUGAUUUUUAUUGUGUGAAAUAACCGCAAUAUAAAUCAGUUAAUUAAAAAUUGCAUAAAUAAUCCUUUCAAAUAAAAUUCUGCCUAAAUUUUACAUUACUCAUAUGUUCAAAUGAUAAUGAGCUCAUAGGCUUUUCCAAUACCUCAGUCAAAACACUGUACUGAUUCCAGCUGUGGGAAUAGUAUCUGAAAGUUAUUUUACAGAUGGGGAACAGGUACUUACCUGACAUUGGCCUUUACACUACUGUGCCCUUUUAGGUCAGGAAAAAGCUGUUCCCUUAAAAUCCUAAAAUCUCUUCUGUCAGGUCUGAAGGGUGGGUGGGAAACACAGUUUUACAAAUUUUAGCCACAGAUGUUUUAUUCCUUGCUUAAAGCAGUGACUAGAUAAAGGCCACUAGAAGAGUCUCCAAUGUUUCUUUAGAAGCGUGUGCCUGAGAACAUCUUCCAGAAACACUCCCUUGUCUCUGCCCAAAAUCACCUUAGGUAGGAAAAUCAAAACUCAGCAGGCUGAGGGAUCCAAGGGGAUCACUGAGCUCUGAGUCUUAUGAGAGAAGAGAGAGAGGUCUAAGACUUUUUGUGUAUAAAUUUAUGGGUUCCAAGUGUAAUUUUGCUGUAAGCAUGGAUGGCAUAGUGGUGAAGUCAGGGCUUUUAGGUAUCCAUCACCAGAAUAAUGCACAUUGUACCCAUUAAGUAAUUUCUCACUGUUCACCCCUUCCAUCCCCUCACCCUGCUGAGUCUCCAUUAUCAUUCCACUCUCUACGUCAAUAUCUACACAUCUUUUAGCACCCGCUUAUGAGUGAUACAAUAUGAUGUUUACUCUGUGUCUGGCUUGCUUCACUUACAACAAUGGCCUCCAGUUCCAUCCAUGUGUCUGCAAAAGUUAUAAUUCUAUUGUUUUUUAUGCCUGAAUGGUAUUUCAUUGUGUAUAUUUUCUACAUUUUCUUUCUCCAAUCAUUUGUUGAUGGGUAUUUAGUUUCAUUUUAUGUCUGUGCUACUGUGAAUAGUGUUUGGUGGGAUUGCUGAAUCAGACAGAGCCAAUAGAUGAUCAGUAAUGGUGGCCAAUCAUCAGCUAGAAAGAAAGUGCUUAGCAGGGCUUGAAAACACCAAAACUCUGAGACCACUGACCUUCAAAAACUUCAACAGCCCUGAGUGAAAAGUCCAAACACAUUUAUCUACCAUUCGAAGACGCUUUAUUGUCUGUCCUCUGCACAUCUCAGUAGUCUCUUUUUACCACACUGUCUAUAUACUGCAUGAGCCAUUUAUAUGAAACUAUCUGACACUCCAAGGCAUCUUGUACUAUAUAUUCAACUAUGUAUCCCUAGUACCUAGCACAGUCCUGGCAUAUAGUUUGCUACUAAACUUUUACAGAAUGAAGGAAUUAUCUUGUAUCCAGGUUCCAAGUUUUAAGGUGAUUCUUCAGUAAAAAAAAGUAUUACAGUUCACAAAUAAUCUACUUCCCUUUUUACAAAUGGGAUCAAUUUUAAUCUUAUCUCCUAAUAACAUUACUUUCAUUUACUCUGAUCUAAAUAUACUGUCCUAAGAGAGCAAUAAGAAAGAGAGUUGAAGCUGGAGUUUGAAGAAUUGUACAUGGUCCUGUGAUACCCUACCUUGUUUUAACCUGAGUGACUCUCUCCUAGCGGAGAGAGAGCCGGACAGACUCCAUUUUAGUUUCUUCACGUGCAGCCCCCUUUACCUUCCACCCUUAAUUGCAUAACUAGUGUAAACUGACUCAAAGCAGGUCCAGGAAUGCACUUAGUGAUAAGAUAUUGAGGCAAGCUGCACCAGCUGCUCCUGGGUACGCACUCGGUGAAUGUCACGCAAAACCCCUGCAUUUCUCUCUUUGUGAUAGUUUAAGCCCCUGCACCUGGAACUGUUUAUUUGUUUUGUAACUGCUAUUGUAACCAAUUAAUAUUUUAACUAUUUGCCAGCUCUGCUUCUGUAAAACUUGUUUCAGCUAAACUCCCCCCUCCCCUAUUUAGACCACGGUAUAAAAACAAAACCAGCCCCUUCCUCGGGGCCAAGAGAAUUUUGAGCAUUACAUGCCUCUCGGUUACCGGCUAAUAAAGGACUCCUUAAUUUGUCUCAAAGUGUGGCAUUCCUCUAUAACUCGCUUGGUUACAACAGUCCACACUGUGGCCUGAGGUGCAUUGCCCACCUGAGCUUCAUCUGUUAUGUAUGUCAGGGAAUAUAAGCAGGGUGAGAGUGGCCUCAUCAGAGGACCCCAGAUCUCUGGCUUACCCAUCUGGCAAGUGCACCUCUGUGAGCAAAGACUUCAGAGCCAGGUGACAAGAAUGGCCCAAGCAGUCCACCAGGAAAACCUGGGCCCAGUGUACGUCAAUGCAGAGCAUCAAGCAUGGUGUAACAGGUGCACAGUUGCCUACUCCUGUUCAGAGAUGACUGCAUCCCACAUACCGUAAAAUGAGGAAAUGCAUAGAAGCAGAUGUAACUGAAGAAGACAGCAGAAGCAACAAGGAGGGACAACCAGGACCUAGGAGGGCACCAUGCCAGAGACGCCUGGACCCCAUGCUAGGCUCAGUGCCUGUUAUACUCUUGGGAGCCAGCACUUUCCCUCUCCAUCACAUGGCAUACUUGCCAUUAUUUGUUGUGUAAAAUAUUGUCCUUAGUUUUCACCUUUCCUAGGAGACACAGGCAGAGCCUGUGACACUACAGCUUCUGGCACACAGUAGGUAGGUGCAUCACAAACAUCUGCUGAGUUCACACACUCUUGCCUUCUCAAAACUUCUUGUCAAGUCUUCAGUGAAAAGGAAUUGCUGAUUGAGCAAGAAUUAAACUUCUAGAGACUCCUGGAUCCACUGAAGUUUGAGACAAGCUCUAGUCAGGAAGUGUUAGAGAGUUCUAAACAGGAAAUAUUCCAACACAUCAUCUAAGCAUGAAGCAGGAGACACCCAUAAUUGAGUUUGCUGCCACCAACCCCAACAGCAAGAAUUCCAGUCCUGCUGCUGCAAAGUAAGUGUCACUCUGAUUUUAUUGCUGCUGUGUAACCCAGUUUUAGACUCUCUGGUUCUCACUUAAUGUUCUAAAAAAGUAUUAAAGAGAAAAUUUUAUUCUGGUGAUGAGCCCAUCCACUGCAGCCAUCUCAACAUCAUACCAAUUAUAAGCCUAUCAUUUAAAAAGAAAGCUGUUAGUUUAACUUAUUUAUCCAAAUAUCAGUAUUACAUAAACAUAUUUGUCAUCAGACUUUGGACUUAUGGGUUAAAUAGCAUAUAAAUAUGAUUAGAGCCUUAAAGUUUACACUUCUCUGGUUCGCUCAAAUUUUUUUCAAAAUAGCAUAUGCCUUUCUAAACAAUGGUUAGUAUAUUUUUCAAAAUGAACAUUAAAAUGUAUAUUUUCCAAAAACAAAAUACAGCUCCCAUUGGUAAAUGAUGCUAUUGAGACACAACAGACAACUUCUCUUGGGAACCAUUUAAUCAGUGCUCACUUUUGCACUCUUUCCAGAAAUGUCAAUGGUUUUGAAAUAUAGAAGUAUAUUAUACAAAUAAACUUAUACUUAUUCAGUAUUGUGCAAUAUUUAGUAUUUCUUCUAGCCAUCUCUUGCUGAAUAGUAAGCCAUUCCAAAACUUACGGAAUUAUUUAUUGUUUAAUAUUGUUUAUUGUUAUUAUUUGUUUAGUAAUUUUAAUAACGUUAUUUCUCAUGGUUUUGUGGGUUGAUGGGCACUACAAAAGUUCUCUUUUGGAGUCUUUCUUGCAGUUGCGGUUGGUUGGCUGCUGCUGAAGUCACCUGAAAGCUCAAUUAGGCUAAAGAGUCUAAACGGGUCACUUACAUGGCUGGCAGUGCAUAUUGGCUGCUGAGUGUGAUGCCUAUCUGACCUCUCCAUGUUACCUGGAGUGCUCACAACGUGGUAGUUUGUCCCAAGACACACAGGCAAAUACUACAAAGCUUCUUAGGGCCUAGCCUUGGAGGUCCUAGAAUACGACUUCUGCUGCAUCCUAUUGGAAAAGCAAGUCAUUGUGACCAGCACAGAUUCAAGAAAUGGGAGAUUCGACUCUACCUGUCAAUGUAAACAGCAGCAUGUGCAUGCAGGGAGGAAAGAAAUUGAGGGCAUCAUCUUGAAGACUAUCAUAUCACACCAUUAUUCCAACUAGUGAACAUUAUGUUUUAGAUGGGUAGUACUAGCUACUCAUCUGUCCCCCAGAAACCCAAGCUAAGCAUGGACAUAUUGAAGAGAAUGUCAACACCAUUAAAAAAACUCUAGAAAAAUCACAUGUGAUGACUGAGGUUAAUUCAGUCUGUCAACUACAUCAAUAUAAUUGCCUUCUUGUAACCCUAAGUAUGGUGAAGCAGAAUUGAAUUCUACAAAAGUCUUUCAUCUGUUUUCCUAUGGAAUAAUUAACAAACCCAAUAAAUGUAUAAAUAGCAUGAAGUCCGACUUAUUUUAGAUUUUUACCUCAUAAUUUCAAAGCUUAUAGAAAUCCAGAGAACUAAUCAUCAUAAUCCAUAAUGCCUGGACCAGAAGUCCUUGUUCUAAGAGUAUCUUGUGGCAUGCUAAAAAUGUAUUACUAACUAGGAAAUUUAAAACUUUUUUGUUAGUGGUUUUAAGAGAGCUGACUAGCUCAUCACCACAAUUCACACAGAUUAAGAAAGGAGGUUACUCUGUGGAGUGGAUUCAUAGUGAUCAGAAAAAAAAAAUCACAAAAGAGGAAAGGAGAUAGGGAAGGGGAAAGAUACUGUCAAUCUCUACAAUUAAAGUGAUUUUUCGAAUGGUUUGAUUUUGUAUUUGCAAAGGAAAGGCAGCUUAAUGUGAUAGAAUAAGAAUCCCACUUCUGUAUCUUUUUUUUUUUUUUUUUUUUUUUGAGACGGAGUCUCGCUCUGUCGCCCAGGCUGGAGUGCAGUGGUGCAAUCUUGGCUCACUGCAAGCUCUGCCUCCCGGGUAGAUGCCAUUCUCCUGCCUCAGCCUCCCGAGUAGCUGGGACUACAGGCGCCCACCACCACGCCCGGCUAAUUUUUUGUAUUUUUUGUAGAGACAGGGUUUCACCGUGUUAGCCAGGAUGGUCUCGAUCUCCUGACCCUGUGAUCCCCCCACCCUGGCCUCCCAAAGUGCUGGGAUUACAGGCGUGAGCCACUGUGCCUGGCUCGUCUUCUUUUGAGAAGUGUCUGCUUAUGUCCCUUGUCAAUGUUUUAAUGGGGUUGUUUUCCUAAUGUCCAACAUCACUAAUCAUCAGAGAAAUGCAAGUCAAUGAGAGAUACCAUCUCAUAUUAGUCAGAAUGGCUACUAUUAAAAAGUAAAAAAAUGACAAAUUCUGGUUAGACUUCAGAGAAAAUGAAAUGCUUAUACACUGUUGGUGAGAAUGUAAAUUAGUUCAGCCACUGUGAAAAGCAGUUUGGAGAUUUUUCAAAGAAUUUAAAACAGAAGUGCCAUUCAACCAGCAAUUCCAUUACUGAGUAUAUAUCCAAAAGAAAAUUAAGAAUUCCACAAAAAAGAAACCCCACAUGCACUUGUAUAUGAG